UGCAUUCACUACUGUAAGUUACUCUGGAUAAGAGCGUCUGCUAAAAUGACUAAAA
Molecule: non-coding RNA, 55 nt
Organism: Salmo salar (Atlantic salmon)
Lineage: Eukaryota; Metazoa; Chordata; Actinopteri; Salmoniformes; Salmonidae
Source: Rfam